RNAcentral lists this ribosomal RNA (253 nucleotides) under uncultured bacterium. Its description in RNAcentral is "partial 16S ribosomal RNA". It matches the Rfam family "Bacterial small subunit ribosomal RNA", at positions 524 to 776 of the family's 1533-position model. The record is from RNAcentral.
UACGAGGGGGGCAAAUGUUGUUCGGAAUCACUGGGCGUAAAGGGAGCGUAGGCGGGUUUCUAAGUCAGGUGUUUAAUCCCGGGGCCCAACCCCGGACAGGCACUUGAAACCGGGAAUCUUGAAUAGUGGAGAGGUCAGUGGAAUUGGGGGUGUAGCGGUGGAAUGCGUAGAGAUCCCCAAGAACACCAGUUGCGAAGGCGGCUGACUGGACACAUAUUGACGCUGAGGCUCGAAAGCAUGGGGAGCAAACAGG